AGUGAAGCGGCAAUAGCUCAAAUUUGAAAUCUGGUCUCCUUUGGGGGCCCGAGUUGUAAUUUGCAGAGGGCGCUUUGGCGUUGACAGCGGUCUAAGUUCCUUGGAACAGGACGUCACAGAGGGUGAGAAUCCCGUACGUGGUCGCCUGUCUUCGCCGUGUAAAGCCCCUUCGACGAGUCGAGUUGUUUGGGAAUGCAGCUCUAAAUGGGAGGUAAAUUUCUUCUAAAGCUAAAUACUGGCCAGAGACCGAUAGCGCACAAGUAGAGUGAUCGAAAGAUGAAAAGCACUUUGGAAAGAGAGUCAAACAGCACGUGAAAUUGUUGAAAGGGAAGCGCUUGCAGCCAGACGUGCCCGUGGUGGUUCUCCUCCGCGGGCAGGCCAGCAUCAGUUCGGGCGGUCGGAUAAAGGCCUCUGUCACGUAUCUACCUUCGGGUUGACCUUAUAGGGGAGGCGUAAUGCGAUCAGCUCGGACUGAGGUCCGCGCAUCUGCUAGGAUGCUGGCGUAAUGGCUGUAAGCGGCCCGUCUUGAAACACGGACCAAGGAGUCUAACAUCUAUGCGAGUGUUUGGGUGUCAAGCCCGGGCGCGCAAUGAAAGUGAACGGAGGUGGGAACCCUUUCUUGGGGUGCACCAUCGACCGAUCCUGAAGUCUUCGGAUGGAUUUGAGUAAGAGCAUAGCUGUUGGGACCCGAAAGAUGGUGAACUAUGCUUGAAUAGGGUGAAGCCAGAGGAAACUCUGGUGGAGGCUCGCAGCGGUUCUGACGUGCAAAUCGAUCGUCAAAUUUGGGCAUAGGGGCGAAAGACUAAUCGAACUAUCUAGUA
This 821-nucleotide ribosomal RNA is filed under the name Dendryphiella eucalyptorum. RNAcentral describes it as "eukaryotic LSU rRNA". It matches the Rfam family "Eukaryotic large subunit ribosomal RNA", at positions 92 to 949 of the family's 3401-position model. Lineage: Eukaryota; Fungi; Ascomycota; Dothideomycetes; Pleosporales; Dictyosporiaceae. The record is from RNAcentral.